UGCAGCCGUCGCCUUCUAGUCUUCGCCGCACGAGCUCUCCUCUCCCCUUUCAGCGCCUUGUCCUCCCAGCUAGGGUUGCCGCCGUCGCCCCCCCAUCCAUGACCGGAUCCGCGGAGGUGGCUGGCAGGGUUAGGUCGUUGGCGCCGAGAAAAAGGAACAGCGGCAGGGCAGUUCUGUCAUGCAGGGUUGAGUGGCGGCCGGAGCGGGUCGGCCACAGAGAUGGCCGUCCGCGGCGCCGUCCUCAGGCAGAGAAGGGAGGGGAGGAUGAGAUGAAGAGAGGAGGGAGAGUGAGACGGCGAGCCCAUGGAGAAGCGCCACCGGGAGCAGAUCUGGCCGUCGGCGGCAAGAAGGUCACGCCCUCCUCCACCUCCGUACGGUCACCCAGGUCUGGUCUAUGCUAAAUGAAUGUUGGUGUGCUAGGGCUAGUUGUAUCUGUAGUGCACGAGUGUGUCCAGGAGAAGGAGCACAGCAACUCCUUGGACAAUGGUCUGUCCUAAUGAUGUAUGUUUGUUUGCUAACAUAGUGCUAAUGGGUGUGCAAAUUAAGGUUCGGCCGUGUCUACGGCAGCGGCGGGGACCUCCGCCUGUGGGUCUAUGUCUUGCUGCUCAACCUCUCUUCUAGGUACAUUGACUCAUAGCGAAGUUACAAUAGUAUGGAGUAGAGACAAAUUAUUCUCUCGGAAGUAAACUCGUCUCAAGGUAAAUACUACAGGAAGCACUCUAAAUGUUCAUACCAUCCCUGAAUAUAUUGGAUUUAGAUUUUGCGGUAUAUUUCCUCUAUAAAGAUAAUUGUGAAGAGUGUUUGUUCAAUGGAACAUUUUUUCUUCUUCCUGAUUUAGCGUCUUAGUACACUAUAACUAUCUAGAAAGCAUUUUAUAGGAGGCCACAUUCAGACUUCCGUACUAAAUUUUUCAUAGCCUUAUCGUGAUAGUCUCAGUAUAGCUCUCACAUGAGGCCUACUUAUUAU
This is a long non-coding RNA of Triticum aestivum (bread wheat), 966 nucleotides long. RefSeq lists it as uncharacterized. The record is from RefSeq and is a predicted model, not a curated record. Lineage: Eukaryota; Viridiplantae; Streptophyta; Magnoliopsida; Poales; Poaceae. The transcript has 3 exons.